Molecule: ribosomal RNA, 492 nt
Filed under: uncultured bacterium
Lineage: Bacteria
Description: partial 16S ribosomal RNA
Rfam family: Bacterial small subunit ribosomal RNA
Source: RNAcentral
AGUGAACGCUGGCGGUAGGCCCAACACAUGCAAGUCGAACGGCAGCACAGUAAGAGCUUGCUCUUACGGGUGGCGAGUGGCGGACGGGUGAGGAAUACAUCGGAAUCUACUUUUUCGUGGGGGAUAACGUAGGGAAACUUACGCUAAUACCGCAUACGACCUACGGGUGAAAGCAGGGGAUCUUCGGACCUUGCGCGAUUGAAUGAGCCGAUGUCGGAUUAGCUAGUUGGCAGGGUAAAGGCCCACCAAGGCGACGAUCCGUAGCUGGUCUGAGAGGAUGAUCAGCCACACUGGAACUGAGACACGGUCCAGACUCCUACGGGAGGCAGCAGUGGGGAAUAUUGGACAAUGGGCGCAAGCCUGAUCCAGCCAUACCGCGUGGGUGAAGAAGGCCUUCGGGUUGUAAAGCCCUUUUGUUGGGAAAGAAAAGCAGCAGGUUAAUACCCCGCUGUUCUGACGGUACCCAAAGAAUAAGCACCGGCUAACUUCGUG